CCGCUCACGAAGGGGUCUAGAGCGAGGGAAAACGCAACGAUAAAAAAUCACAUAGCCCAAAGAAGAGCACAACCGAUCGUGUUCGCCAGCACCUCUUCUCUGAAAGCUACCAGAAACCGGUAAAUAAAAGGUGUCUAUUGAAGCUUUCGUCAGCUUUCGGUCCCUGCGCGCGCAGACAAGUACGCUUCCCCUUGAACGCUGCCACUCGCACAACUGCCAAAAUCAUUCCUCAUCCCUUUUCGACUAGCGCUUGUCUUCCCUGCCACCACGACCUCCUCUCUCGGAAGUGCUCACUGGCCGCCCUCACCCCUCUUCUUCUUUCCUGUUGUUGUUGUUCUCUGUUUCGGGUUUUCCGUCUUUGUACUUCUUUGACUCCAUCCCUGUUGUACUACACUGAUUGCGUGCUUGUGUGUGUGUGUGUGUGUGUUUGUUUGACGCUCCUCUCCAUCCCCCUUCACACCCUUCUCUUUCCCUUCUGCCUCUCUUUCUUUUUCUGUCUUUUUUUGUUGUUGUUGCUGUUGCCUUGUUCGCUUUUCAUGUAUAGAUCAGUGUGUCGGUGCACGGUUUGCACUUCCCUCUCUCCUCGGCGCGCCUUCCGCCGUCUUCGGCCUGCGCAGUUGAGUGUUGUGUGUGUGGGGGGAGGGGGGGCGGCUACUUUGCUUUUUCGUCAUUAUCACCAUUAUCACAGGAAAAGCGUAAUUCUCUCCACUCCCUCUUUCGCUGCCGGAGUGUCGGUGCUACGGUGCUCAGCUGUACACACGCGCACGGAAACUCGCAGAUCGCGCAUUCAGAGGAAGGAUACAUACACCGAGCGCGGCCGUCCGGCGUGGCCAUGCGACCCUCCACGAGCAUGGACACUCCCUUUAACUGCGACAGCACCGGCGUGCGGAUGUCAUCUGUAACCUCCACCAUUACCGCCCGUGCGAGCCGAUCACGGCAGCCGACACUUCCCUGGUUAGACCCCAGCGUUGUGCUGGAGGUGCACUCCUCCUCAGAGACUCUGCUAUCGACUCGCAGGAGCGCUUUCCAGUGUUCUCCGUCCUACGCCUCUGUUGCAGAGUCGCUAGAGACACCGCUCGUUAUGACGGCCACCACUGCAGUGCUGAGUGCCACAAUUAACGAGGAGUGUGACGACCUGGAGCUCAGCACGACCGCCUACGGCGAGGUCAUCCGAGCCGAUAAGCUGCGCACUAAUCUGCGCCGCGGCGGCGAGUACCGUUUUUCAUGCUGUGCAUUUUGGCACCGUCAGGGCAGCAACAGCAGCAGCGGCGGCGGGGCGGUUGACCAUCGCAUCCACGCGGCGCCACAUCCUUCACGGCUCUCCAGCGCACCGCAACAGCGACCUAAGCAGCAAACAGCGAGUACUGCGUCACCGACAGCGGCAACUACAUUGUUGCUCGGGGAAGUCGAAGCUGCCGCGGCAGUCGCUGAGUGUCACGCCUCCGGCUGGAGCGUGUCACCGCCGGAACCGAGGACGGAAGAUGUGCUCACCAUCCCAUGCCCGCCACCUCUCGGAGGCAAGCGCACCAGCAUGAAAGGCGGCGACGUUGAGCUGGCCUCCCAGCAGUUUUCGAGGCAGCUGCUCGAUCUGCCAUCUUUCCGCCCAACGCAAAUUGCCCUUUCCUUCUCCAUAGCUGCGGCAGAACGAGAACGGGUGUUUCCAGCCCCUCCAGCGGCUGCACCCCCGAGCGACCCCUGCAGCCCCGGGUCCCUUGCACUAAAACACAGCUCUCAACGCUUUACCAACCCCUUACAUCUUCAGCAGAAGCCGCAGCGACUGCUGCAGCACAACAGCGCCAGCUCCUUGGAGGGCUGUGACGUUGCGGCAGUCGCUCCCGCCUCUAGCGCUGCGACCCUCGCAAGCGGCAUGGGCACGCGCGCCGUCGCCAGCGAGUUGCAACCGCUGACGCCGCGACCCGAUCCGGGGCCGCCUGGCUCAGCAGGGCAGCGCCUUUCCAGCGCUGCCUCUAUAGGUCGCCGCUGCUUGCCACUCCUCUCGCCUCCCCUAGAACCGUUUCCACCUUCGUCGUGCACGUGCGCCACCAAUACGCACGCUCCGUCGACAUCGAGCCCAAUGUUGUCAUCCUCGCAGCCGGCGGAGGUGCACGACGCCGUCGCCAUCUCCUCUGCACGCAGCACGUGUGUCAGUGGAAGGCGCAACAGUGGCCUAAAUGUCACCGGCGCUUUCACCACAAGCUUGUCCCCGGUUGUCGGGCUGGCGGUCCCUGGCGCCGUGGAGGGGGUGUCGCCUCCACCACAGCCGCUAACGCAAGGCCUCCUCUCACCGACACUGCGCGCACUCCCGAAAGGGUGGCGAUCGCCGCCACCGGUGAGCGACCUUCACAACCCAGCGAGCAGCGCCGCUGGCAACUCUUCGCAGGGUGUGAAUUCAAGCGUGACAGCAACGCUCUUCGGUGUAGGGGUGACAGCCAGGCCCGCAUCGGCGGCAUCGGCGGGUUGUGCUGGCCCGGCUCUGGCUCCUAUUGGUGAACCAGCCACGGACGCUCAGCGCGAGAACACCUCUGCACGGCCUCUAGAGGCCAAUGUGUGUGCGCUGUUCAGUGGUAGUGCGUAUGCCGAUGUACGCGCAUCGGCCGAGCUUCACGUGCUCCGUGCCCUUCCAGUUGCGCGAACAUCUGUCGACCAGGCGGCCGUCAAGGCCGCCGUCGUCGCUGCGUCGACGCCGGCGGUGCCUUCACCGGGAACCCACGAGCGACGAUGUAAGGAGGCCCCGGGGUGCUCGAAAGAAGCCGCAGAUGCCGCUCUGCCAACAUCCGUGGUGCCAAAAGGCGGUGUCAAGGCAGUGGCAGCAACGUUGGGUGCGGGCUUCUCGGUGUGCUCGGCCUCCCUGUACAAUCUGUCGGCACGGCUAGCACCCAUUUCCCUCAAGCCGCAGCAGCCGUUCUGCAGCAACACCAAGUCAAGCAGCGGUACCACCGGCGACGAGCGCGACGGAGCUGCUUGCCGAAUCAGCGAUGUUGCUGGCACCGCUAAGGUCGCAUUCGGCGGCUUAUCAAGCCCUCUGAUGGUCGCCGGUGUGCCGCCAAAGGUGGCAGCGACCGUCAGCCGGUCACCUCAGCAGCCGUUCCGCUCCUCUCUUGAGUGGGAAAGGCAAGCCAGGGAAGCCGGCAAGAGCACUGCGAUGGCGCCGAAAUCCGAGGUCGCCGCAGCGCCGGGCCACCAAAGCGACGAUGAUGCGGUGGUCAUCGAGGAGGCCGUCGUGCCGGCUGCGGGCAUCAGCCCAACGCCGUCCCCGACGUCCUUGCCAGUGACGACGCCGCUGCAGGGCUCGCAGAGGGCGGUGUUUCGGUUCUACAGCGUGCUCCAAAGGGGCGAGGAUCGCAGAUGCGGUUCCCAUCUGCUCUCUGCCCACUCAUCAAUGGGCUCCUCCGCAGAGACGGGGGAGGGGUGGACAGCUGUGCCGAAGGAGGAAGAAGCGGCGGUGGAUGGGGGUCCUUGUGGUCAGGGCAGGGCUCAAGGAACUGAGUCACACGUCUCCGCAACGCUGCCGCCGCAGUCGGCGGGUGCGACGGCGACCAGUAGCGUGUCCAGUAAAGCGGAGAGGCUCAAGGCGGCUCACAAGAGCCGUUCCCGCCAGCGUGGAAACCGCGAGGAGUCGGUGGCUGGAUUUCUAAGGGAAAGCAGUGCCGCCAGCAUGCUAGCGAGUAACAGUAGCCGCGGGGAGCUGUGGAGAGGCCUGCAGCUGCCGCGCUCCUCCACGCUAGGCAACAUCUCUUUCACAAACACCGCAGGCUAGAGGUCGCACUCCAUCACCUCCCUGAUGCGCCGCCCCGGCCACGAGGCCAGAAUGCGUCACAUGAGCAGUGGCAUGUGCUUCGGAGCGUGCAUACCUUUGGUCGACUCUUUCCGCUCAUUUCUCGAGGACCACCAGUCAUCCUUCUAUCUAGGCAACACCACCAACGAUCGAAGCGCCUCUUCAGGAACGCAUUCAGCCUCCCCGAACUGUUCCGGCAUAUGCAUGAGGCGCGAGCGCGGCAAGCUCGGAAGCAGCACUCGGGGCCACAGUCAGCGGAAGCGCGAAAGCCGUGGCGUCGACUGGGCAGUCGCGAGCGCAGCUUCGCAUCAGCUUAGUGUAAUCCGCGGCCACGGUACCCCCGCUGGAGAGAGCUCGGAGCAACCGUAGCAGCUCGUCGCAUCAGGCACUGUCCUCGUGCAUUUUAAUCUUGUGAUUUGCCUUUGAGAACGCAGCGUCUCCCGGGCCAGCCGGGACGGCAAGACGUCAGCGGAGCAAUGUCGCCACUAAGGCGCACGGCUUUGGGCGGACGCGAGGCUGGCCCUCGCUGCCGACGAGUACAAGCGCAGUCACGUCGCCGCUCUCCAGCGAGGCGACGCUGUACCUCGAUGACUCUGCGGAGAGGCGCAAGUCACGAAAAAGUGCGUGUUGCGGCUCCAGCGAUGCAUCGCCGUUGCGGAUCUGGGUGCUAUCCCCUCUCUGACAGAAAGGCUUUCUGGCAAGAUGUGCCGCAGCAGUUAUUCCGCGCUAAGUCGCCCCAGCGGCAAGGCAAUCUCUGUCGCCCCGGCGCCGCGGCAAAGCAGCGCACCGUGGUCAUUCUGCGGCUCGACGGCUCUCUGCUUCCGCUGAGCUCGGUCAGCGAGCCAUAGAAACGUCACCAGCAGCAGCAGCAGGAACACCGAUCCAGCCAGCUUCAUCGGCGCAGCACGAAUCCUUCCGGCAGCUCAAGCAGCUGUCCGUAGCGCCCUUGAUCGCGGUGAGCAGUCGGUGCGUAGUGGAAUGGGGAUGCUGAGAGAGAGGGGAGGAGCCGUCGCUUGAAGCGCUGUAUGCGCACGGCAGCGUACGCCCUCUUCUCCAUAAAAACCUCGUGUGUGUGUGUGUGUGCUGAUCGCAGCACGGACAGACACACAGAGAGAAUGGAUGCCGUCCGUGCAACGUGCAUUGUGUGGGUGUACGUUCAGGGAGUGUCCGUCUGUCUCCAUCUUGUGGAUAUCUUACUUGUUCGCUGCCCUUUACUCGUUAGUGGAUGUGGCACAUCGUAGCGCAAUCCAUGUAUUGCUCUCCUCUUCGUUUUUUUUCUGUUUUUCCAUUCUCUAAAGUGUUCCCUUCGCAGAUUUUUACGAUGCUGAGCACCGCCUUUAGCGGCCAGCGAGCGUGUUUAUCGUCCAUACAUGUCUGCGCGCAUGCAUGUGAGUAUGAAUGGAUGGAUGUGGCUGAGGAAGGUUUCUCUUUUUUUUCUGCGGUGGGGAAGGGGUGGGUACAGCAAGGCUGCCAGAUGUACUGUGGCGGCGGCUGUGGCCAGGGUAAGAUUGUCACUGGUUCACUUUUUUGUUGCUGGGCUAGGGUUUCUUAUUGGAUGUAUAUAUUUAUUUGAGACACACACAUGCAUACGCACCCGUAUGCAUGUGUGUGUGUGUGUAUGUGUGUGUAUUGUGAUGUGAUGUUCAGCUCUUCCCAUAUGCUCUACGUUCUUUCUUCGCCCCACUCCGCCGCCCUUUUCCUCUCUUUUUGUAUGCGUCAUAGGAGCGCAUUGGACUUUGUGAUUUUGUGUGCUUUUCUGCCUUUCCUUUUACUUUUCGUUGCUACCGCUUCUACCGCUGCUCCCGCUGCUGCUAGUGCUGGUGGUAGUGAUCGGGUGUUCAUGCUGCUGCCCUCUCUGUACCCCAUCACACCCACCCACCCCCAUGCACACACAGGUAACACCCGCACAUACGUAUACAAACUCUCUCCUUUUCCAUACGAGGACAUGCAAUCUUUCGACCGCUUCUGUUUUUCUUUUUCUUUCCUGUUGCCAGUCGGGGGAGAGGGGGGGGCGUGAGCGGCGAUGGCGCUCCUAUGAAGUAUGGUGAAAGGAUCACGCGCACACCCACACUCGCUUCUCCUCCGCCGCUGCCUUUUCCCUUUCUCGCACGAGCCGCCACCCACGCCAAACCCCUCGCUGACCCAGAGCGCACACUGUGCGUGCACAAACACAGGCACACACACAAUUCGUUCAGCAUGGGCAGUUGUGGUAGUUUUUCUGCUCUUUUAUUGUUGUUUUCCUUUGCGUUUGACGCUUCUCCGUUGCGGAUGCGAAGGCGCACAUCGAUGGAAUAGAUCCAAGGACUUGAUGGGGAACGACAAGAACUAGAGCAAACAAAAAAGUGGAACUGAAGGAGCUCCGUAGUUGAUCCGUGUCCUGAGCAGUGGCAAUGGGGGUUCCCAGCAACCAACUGCUUGCACCCUCCACCAUGGAGCUCAUUGCUGCUCUCUCUCUCGUUGUGUUGUGAUGCACUGCCAAGCAGGCAGUCUUUUGGCGUUUGUUCGAUGGAGAGCACCCAAUGUUUGGAUUCGCUGCUGCUAUGGCCCUUGCUGCCUUCGGGGUUGUUUUUCGUUGAGAAGUCCGUCCCCCAUCUUUUUUGUUUCUGCCGCCUCUCAGACUCCCUCCACCCACUCGCCAACCCAUCUCGCGCUAUCACUUCGCUGAGCGACAUGUAUGUGGGCUCACUCUCUUGUCCAUGUAUAUAUGUGUGUUUGUGCUCUGUCCCCGUCAUUCCGCCUCGCACUCUUCUUUCUGUCUUGCACGAUUCAGUGUCUCUGCCCGCUUGUUUGCUCUGUGGGUAUGUGCGUGUGAUGUCUUGGUCGUAUGGCCACCAUCGCAGACGUCGUCGUGUUGCUAGCGCAUCACCCUUUUCUGCUUUCUUUUUCGGUCCCCAUGCACGCGAGCACACGGAGGCGCACGCUAAGCUCUCUCACCGCUUCUCCUUCCACCGCCCUCCUCCACAUCUGCCCCUUCAUCUCUUCAUGUUUCGUUGGGCUCCCACAUGGAAAUCAAGGGACAGGAGCCCCCAAGGGAAGCACCACUAGAGGCGUGGUAAUGAUGGUGGUGGUCGGGAAAGAAAAGGGGGGGCGCAACGCUUCAUGAAGUGAGGGAAGGAGGGGGCGGUCGAACUGCGCACGCACGGCUGCCUUCGUUCCUCCCCCUCCCCCUUCACUUCCUCUUACAACAAUAUAUAUAUAUAUAGCACGUGCUUCGUUUCGUGGUGAAAAGGUUGUGAACGCCAAAAAAAAAGACCAACCAGCCAACAAAUGCUUUGCUUUCUUUUUGUGAGUGUGUGUGCGUGUGUUCGUUUCCGUGCGUGUGCGUUUUUUUUCGUGUGUAUAUGCUUGACAGCACCUCUCCGUCUUGUUUGCGUGGAGCGUCUCCCUGCUCCUCCUCCUCCUAUCUUCAUCUAUUUCUGUCUCACGAUCUAUCAUCCGCCACCCAUCCGCCUCCUUUUUAUUGUUGUUAUUCCCCUUCGCUGCCUGGCCCGCUUGUGGUCUUUUUUGUUUGUCUGUUGUGUUUUCCGUUGUGUUUUGCUUUGUCUACUUGUGACGGUCACUUCCCGUUGCCCUCCUACGCGCGGCCCCUUGUCUCCCUCCCUCUUUCCACCUCACUCGUCUUCCGGCGGCAAAGCCGUGGGGAGGGGGGAGGGCGCGCAUGCACGACAUGGCACAGCAGCAACAAGAAACAGAAAAAUCCGACACAUGCAAGGAGGAAGGUGUGCCUUGGACCCUGAAUUCCGACGACUGGCACUCUCCCUUCUCUCUUCUGCCCCUCCUCCUCCUCUGUGUCCUAAG
This 7573-nucleotide unclassified non-coding RNA is filed under the name Leishmania donovani. RNAcentral describes it as "gene:LdHU3.20.1270(CDS-product:hypothetical_prote in_conserved)". The record is from RNAcentral. Lineage: Eukaryota; Euglenozoa; Kinetoplastea; Trypanosomatida; Trypanosomatidae.